UACUGGUGCCAGCAGCUGCGGUAAUUCCAGCUCCAAUAGCGUAUAUUAAAGUUGUUGCAGUUAAAAAGCUCGUAGUUGAAUUUCGGGGUUAGUAGGUUGGUCAUGCCUCUGGUAUGUACUGGUCUCACUGAUUCCUCCUUCCUGAUGAACCUUAAUGCCAUUAAUUGGUGUUUUGGGGAAUUUGGACUGUUACUUUGAAAAAUUAGAGUGUUUAAAGCAAGCUAACGCUUGAAUACAUUAGCAUGGAAUAAUGAAAUAGGACGUUCGAUCCUAUUUUAGUUGGUUUCUAGGGAUUGACGUAAUGAUUAAUAGGGAUAGUUGGGGGGCAUUAGUAUUCAAUUGUCAGAGGUGAAAUUCUUGGAUUUAUUGAAGACUAACUACUGCGAAAGCAUUUGCCAAGGAUGUUUUCAUUAAUCAAGAACGAAAGUUAGGGGAUCGAAGACGAUCAGAUACCGUCGUAGUCUUAACCAUAAACUAUGCCGACUAGGGAUCGGAUGAUGUUAAUUUUUUAAUGACUCAUUCGGCGCCUUACG
RNAcentral lists this ribosomal RNA (533 nucleotides) under uncultured Glomus. RNAcentral's name for it is "SSU rRNA". It matches the Rfam family "Eukaryotic small subunit ribosomal RNA", at positions 559 to 1092 of the family's 1831-position model. Lineage: Eukaryota; Fungi; Glomeromycota; Glomeromycetes; Glomerales; Glomeraceae. The record is from RNAcentral.